RNAcentral lists this long non-coding RNA (434 nucleotides) under Linum usitatissimum (flax). Its description in RNAcentral is "long non-coding RNA (LUSI_LNC001560)". The record is from RNAcentral. Lineage: Eukaryota; Viridiplantae; Streptophyta; Magnoliopsida; Malpighiales; Linaceae.
ACACUCGAGCUUUGAGUUCUUCAUGGCCAGGUAUAUAGCGGAGACUUCAGAUGACAGGCCAGUUCCCUCUGUAUCUAAAUAACAAUAGUAAAUAUACAAAACCUUAGUUCAGAACUUAUUCAACUGUCGAUGUACUGGAAUCAUAUGAGAUAUCAGUUUUGUGGAAAUUAAUUAUGUCUCACCUGAUAUUCUCUCAUCCGCAGUGGAUGUAAAAGUUUUAAAGUCGAUGGUUGAGUACCCUGUUGCAUUAUCUUGGAAUGAGGCCUGCUCGUCGUUCCGGAAUGAUUUGACGAAGUUAACUGCAUCCAUGAUACAAAAGCUCAGUUAUGAGGGAUGACCUGUGACCUUAUUUCAAUAUCAAAGACAAAUUAACUUGACAAGAUAUUAGCUUUCAAUGAAUAACCCACCUCCGCUGUCAAUUUCUGCUCCAGAUA